This 491-nucleotide ribosomal RNA is filed under the name uncultured bacterium. RNAcentral describes it as "partial 16S ribosomal RNA". It matches the Rfam family "Bacterial small subunit ribosomal RNA", at positions 29 to 507 of the family's 1533-position model. The record is from RNAcentral.
AGUGAACGCUGGCGGUAGGCCUAACACAUGCAAGUCGAACGGCAGCACAGUAAGAGCUUGCUCUUACGGGUGGCGAGUGGCGGACGGGUGAGGAAUACAUCGGAAUCUACUUUUUCGUGGGGGAUAACGUAGGGAAACUUACGCUAAUACCGCAUACGACCUACGGGUGAAAGCAGGGGAUCUUCGGACCUUGCGCGAUUGAAUGAGCCGAUGUCGGAUUAGCUAGUUGGCGGGGUAAAGGCCCACCAAGGCGACGAUCCGUAGCUGGUCUGAGAGGAUGAUCGGCAACACUGAAACUGAGACCCGGUCCAGACUCCUAGGGGAGGCAGCGGGGGGAAUAUUGGACAAUGGGCGCAAGCCUGAUCCAGCCAUACCGCGUGGGUGAAGAAGGCCUUCGGGUUGUAAAGCCCUUUUGUUGGGAAAGAAAAGCAGCAGGUUAAUACCCCGCUGUUCUGACGGUACCCAAAGAAUAAGCACCGGCUAACUUCGUG